GACGAACGCUGGCGGCGUGCUUAACACAUGCAAGUCGAACGGAAAGGCCCUGCUUUUGUGGGGUGCUCGAGUGGCGAACGGGUGAGUAACACGUGAGUAACCUGCCCUUGACUUUGGGAUAACUUCAGGAAACUGGGGCUAAUACCGGAUAGGAGCUCCUGCUGCAUGGUGGGGGUUGGAAAGUUUCGGCGGUUGGGGAUGGACUCGCGGCUUAUCAGCUUGUUGGUGGGGUAGUGGCUUACCAAGGCUUUGACGGGUAGCCGGCCUGAGAGGGUGACCGGCGACAUGGGGACUGAGAUACGGCCCAGACUCCAACGGGAGGCAGCAGUGGGGAAUAUUGCACAAUGGGCGGAAGCCUGAUGCAGCAACGCCGCGUGCGGGAUGACGGCCUUCGGGUUGUAAACCGCUUUCGCCUGUGACGAAGCGUGGGUGACGGUAAUGGGUAAAGAAGCACCGGCUAACUACGUG
Molecule: ribosomal RNA, 468 nt
Filed under: uncultured bacterium
Lineage: Bacteria
Description: partial 16S ribosomal RNA
Rfam family: Bacterial small subunit ribosomal RNA
Source: RNAcentral